RNAcentral lists this ribosomal RNA (466 nucleotides) under uncultured bacterium. RNAcentral describes it as "partial 16S ribosomal RNA". It matches the Rfam family "Bacterial small subunit ribosomal RNA", at positions 339 to 795 of the family's 1533-position model. The record is from RNAcentral.
CUACGGGCGGCAGCAGUGGGGAAUAUUGGACAAUGGGGGGAAACCCUGAUCCAGCAAUGCCGCGUGUGUGAAGAAGGCCUGCGGGUUGUAAAGCACUUUCGGUUGGGAGGACUGCUUCUAGCACUAAUAUUGUUGGAAGUUGACGUUACCUUCAGAAGAAGCACCGGCUAACUCCGUGCCAGCAGCCGCGGUAAUACGGGGGGUGCAAGCGUUAAUCGGAAUUACUGGGCGUAAAGCGCGCGUAGGCGGCUAGAUCAGUCGGGUGUGAAAGCCCCGGGCUUAACCUGGGAACUGCAUCCGAUACUGUCUAGCUUGAGUACAGGAGAGGAGAGUGGAAUUCCACAUGUAGCGGUGAAAUGCGUAGAUAUGUGGAGGAACACCAAUGGCGAAGGCAGCUCUCUGGCCUGAUACUGACGCUGAGGUGCGAAAGCGUGGGGAGCAAACAGGAUUAGAUACCCCCGUAGUC